Molecule: small nucleolar RNA, 134 nt
Organism: Ictidomys tridecemlineatus (thirteen-lined ground squirrel)
Lineage: Eukaryota; Metazoa; Chordata; Mammalia; Rodentia; Sciuridae
Source: Ensembl
UCAUGGUUUGGAUUCUUUAAAAGUAUUUCUGGUUUCAAGAGUAUCUACUAAAAUCGUUCCAUGCCAGAGCAAGCUGUGGCCCUGAACCAUUGCCUGGCCUCUGCCUGUGGGCUGCUGAAGAGGGUUGCACAGUA